GAUCCAGUUUCUGGAAAAACCCCACAUCCCAAGCAUUCUGGUUAAUAGAUACUGUACAUGUGAAUCAAUACCAAGAUUUUAGACCACUGUGUCCCUAAUGUUCUGUUAAAAAUAUAGCUAGAAUAACAGCCAUAAAGCGUGACACUACUGCUGCCAUGUGAGAGAAACCAAGGAGGUUUAACCAUUUACACUUUAAUCUGCAAGCUCCAUUAUUAGACAAAAUGUACGUUGAAUAAUAUUACACAUAGUUUAAGGCCCAUUGCUCCAUCCUUUUUAUUGAAACAGAUAGAGUGGUGCAGCAUCACACUGCUCUGUUGUCCGUUUCAGACAAACAUUUUGCAGGAUUUAUGAGUUUUGCAGGAUUUAUGAGCUGCAACUCAAUACCAGCCAAAAUCACAAAAUAGCAUCAGGGUAGAGAAGGCUUAAAGCUGAAGUGUGCCAUCUGGCAUGAUAUCACCUAUGUGUAUGGCAAAUCCAGGCUGUAGAUGUGAAUUUUAUAGUUCGCUGUGAAAAUGGGAAUAUUGUAAAUUCAAGUGGACUUCUGUUUCUGCUGACACGACUUUGUCUUGGGGGCACAGACAGCUUUGAAGAAGCUUAUUAAAGGAAUGCGCAGAAAAUCUGCUGGAAAUAAGACACGGCCUGAUUCCUACAGGCAGCUUGCUGGUGGCAGGCAUCCUUGUGUUUCAGAGCGGGUGGCACCCCUUAUGAUCUAAAGUUAGUUCCUGUACAACAAACAGAGACCUGCUUCAGCUUUUCUGCCCAGGUUAAAAUAAUCGUGCAAACCAGAUAAGGAGGGAUAGAAAUCACGUGUGAAGCAGUCCUGCAGUGCAUCAAUUCAUUUUUGUCAGGGAACCCUCUAGAGCAUUGCAUUUAACUAGCAAAUACUUGUAUUUCAACAUCUGUUACUAUCCAUUUAGAUAUUUUUUUUUCUAUCAUCCCAUUUAGAAAGCCUUCAGUAAAAGAAUCUGAACUGCGCAGCAUUGCUCAACUGGACUAUUAAUUGGCACAAUUCAUUUGUUGUUCCACUGCAAGCUGGCUGGAGGAACCUAGAAUGGUAUCUGAAAAUAUUUCCAGCACUUUAACAACUACCAGCAACAUCAGCAAUAUCUAUUGUAUGCAGCUUCCUUUCAUAUAGG
Xenopus laevis (African clawed frog) is the source of this 1136-nucleotide long non-coding RNA. RefSeq lists it as uncharacterized. The record is from RefSeq and is a predicted model, not a curated record. NCBI's taxonomy places the organism in Eukaryota, Metazoa, Chordata, Amphibia, Anura, Pipidae. The transcript has 2 exons.